RNAcentral lists this ribosomal RNA (406 nucleotides) under uncultured bacterium. RNAcentral describes it as "partial 16S ribosomal RNA". It matches the Rfam family "Bacterial small subunit ribosomal RNA", at positions 30 to 526 of the family's 1533-position model. The record is from RNAcentral.
AUUGAACGCUGGCGGCAGGCCUAACACAUGCAAGUCGAACGAGUGGCGGACGGGUGAGUAAUGUCUGGGAAACUGCCUGAUGGAGGGGGAUAACUACUGGAAACGGUAGCUAAUACCGCAUACCAUCAGAUGUGCCCAGAUGGGAUUCGCUAGUAGGUGGGGUAAUGGCUCACCUAGGCGACGAACCCUAGCUGGUCUGAGAGGAUGACGAGCCACACUGGAACUGAGACAUGGUCCAGACUCCUACGGGAGGCAGCAGUGGGGAAUAUUGCACAAUGGGCGCAAGCCUGAUGCAGCCACGCCGCGUGUGGUAAGAAGGCCUUCGGUUUGUAAAGCACUUUCAGCGAGUGCGCGUUACUCGCGGAAGAAGCACCGGCUAACUCCGUGCCAGCAGCCGCGGUAAUUC